UACAGAGGGUGCGAGCGUUGUUCGGAAUUAUUGGGCGUAAAGGGCGCGUAGGCGGUGCGGCAAGUCACCUGUGAAACCUCUGGGCUUAACCCAGAGCCUGCAGGCGAAACUGCCGUGCUGGAGUGUGGGAGAGGUGCGUGGAAUUCCCGGUGUAGCGGUGAAAUGCAUAGAUAUGACCCGGAACACCGAUUGCGAAGGCAGCCCACUAAGCAAUGAUUGACGCUGAGGCACGAAAGCGUGGGGAGCAAACAGG
This 253-nucleotide ribosomal RNA is filed under the name uncultured bacterium. RNAcentral describes it as "partial 16S ribosomal RNA". It matches the Rfam family "Bacterial small subunit ribosomal RNA", at positions 524 to 776 of the family's 1533-position model. The record is from RNAcentral.